CACGUAGGAGGCGAGCGUUAUCCGGAUUUACUGGGCGUAAAGCGCGUGUAGGCGGUUUGGUUAGUUGGAUGUGAAAUCUCCUGGCUCAACUAGGAGAGGUCGUUCAAUACUGCCAGACUAGAGGACGGUAGAGGAAGGUAGAAUUCCCGGUGUAGUGGUGAAAUGCGUAGAUAUCGGGAGGAAUACCAGUGGCGAAGGCGGCCUUCUGGGCCGUUCCUGACGCUCAGACGCGAAAGCAUGGGUAGCGAAC
Molecule: ribosomal RNA, 250 nt
Filed under: uncultured bacterium
Lineage: Bacteria
Description: partial 16S ribosomal RNA
Rfam family: Bacterial small subunit ribosomal RNA
Source: RNAcentral